RNAcentral lists this ribosomal RNA (253 nucleotides) under uncultured bacterium. RNAcentral describes it as "partial 16S ribosomal RNA". It matches the Rfam family "Bacterial small subunit ribosomal RNA", at positions 524 to 776 of the family's 1533-position model. The record is from RNAcentral.
UACGGAGGGGGCGAGCGUUAUUCGGAAUUAUUGGGCGUAAAGGGCGCGUAGGCGGCGCGGUAUGUCACCUGUGAAAUCUCCUGGCUCAACUGGGAGCUUGCAGGCGAAACUGCCGUGCUGGAGUGUGGGAGAGGUGCGUGGAAUUCCUGGUGUAGCGGUGAAAUGCGUAGAUAUCAGGAGGAACACCUGUGGCGAAAGCGGCGCACUGGACCACAACUGACGCUGAGGCGCGAAAGCUAGGGGAGCAAACAGG